GUAGUUAAAACGCCCGUAAGUAAACCAAAGGGUUCAUAGUUAAUUGAUCUUGACCAGUACCGUUCGUAACGUCAGCCACGUAUCGUGGGCGAUAGGACGAAUAAGGACAGGUCCUCGGUCUCUAACGGAAGCUAAGGUUUCCUUAGCAUCCGCCACGGGAUAGGUCAACGAUUAUGGCUCGCUCCCCGCCAGUCCGUAAGGUCUGGUAGGGCCAUUCGGCACAACCGUAAACAAAUCAGAAGUGCUCCAAGCAGGCAAUGUUAGGGGUAACCCAUCCGCUCGAAUGAUUUAGCAUGGAAUUGUCACGAAGCCGAUCGGAAACUUUGAGGGUUUACCUGAGAAGUGGAAGAUCCGGCGCUCGCAAUGAGACACUGGUAGAGGAUCCAAGUACUAUGGCGCGAGAGGUGAAAUUCAGUGACCGCCAUAUGACUAUCUAAUGCGAAAGCAGUUGGUGAUCCAGAACGUGUCUGUCAAUCAGGGACGAAAGUUAAGGGAUCGAAGAUGAUUAGAUACCGUCGUAGUCUUAACCGUAAACGAUACCAACACGAGAUUGGUAGUGAGACUUUUAGAUCCUAUCAGAAUCCAAGGGAAACCGUUAAGUUUUUGGGUUCUGGGGGGAAGUAUGGUCCGCAAGGCUGAAACUUAAAGGAAUUGACGGAAAGGCACCACCAGGAGU
RNAcentral lists this ribosomal RNA (676 nucleotides) under Tetramitus sp. RNAcentral describes it as "SSU rRNA". It matches the Rfam family "Eukaryotic small subunit ribosomal RNA", at positions 615 to 1177 of the family's 1831-position model. The record is from RNAcentral. Lineage: Eukaryota; Heterolobosea; Eutetramitea; Acrasida; Vahlkampfiidae.